RNAcentral lists this long non-coding RNA (1190 nucleotides) under Homo sapiens (human). RNAcentral describes it as "HSALNT0217137". Lineage: Eukaryota; Metazoa; Chordata; Mammalia; Primates; Hominidae. The record is from RNAcentral.
GGUGGGGCUAUGUCCCUUCUGGAGGCUCAAGGGAUGAAUCAGGUCCCUGCGUUUUCUAGCUUCUAGGGGCUCCAGCUUCUGGGUUUGUGGCCUCCUUCCUCCAUCCUCAAAGCCAGCAACAGCAGGUGAAGUCCUCGCCCAUCGUGCAUCACUCUCCCUUCUGCCUCCUUCAACUUUUUUUUUUAUAUUUAGGGGGAACGAGUAUAGGAUUCUUACAUAGUCAAAAAGCUCCUUAUAGAGAAGCUCAGAACUUUCAAUACAGCUUUGCCUUUUUUGCCAUUUUAAUUUUCCGUUUAAUUUAAAUGUAUUCUCUCAUUUGACCUUCAUACUCUGUGGAGAAAUAUUCCUGUUUUGGCUUGUAUUGACAAGUUGUUUUCACACAGCCCCCACAUCACCCAACCAACCAGCAGAGAUCCUCCUUCCCAAGAAACAGAUAAAGAAACUGAGGCCCAGGAAGGCUAAGAGUCCUGCCAGGAUUAUUCACCUUUCAAGCCAAGCAAGCACUGGCUGUGAGAGAUGGCUGUGAGAGAAGAUUAAAACAAUUACAACUCACCCAGUUCACAGAUGCUGAGUAACUGAUCUCCUGCCCCACUAACCUUAACGACAGCUUUCUCUGGACAAGGGACUGAUUUCAGUAACUUUCUCCUGAUAAGAGACCAUCCUCCAUGGACUGGUUCUGGCCAGUUUUAGAGGCUGUGCCUUUACGAGGCUGAGUACCUUCAUGUCCCUGCUUCACUUUUUGAUGUGUAGGGCCUAAUUAUAAUACAUUUAAAUGUCAAGUCUCCACCCCAGAAUGAACAUGCAUGUUUAUUGAAUAUGCAUGUGUUAGGACCUCUUUUAUGAGUAUUCUCAUAAAAUGAUAUAGCUCCUCUGAUAUCCUAUUGAGUAUGUAUAUGUAGCCAACUCAUUUGGCUCAAAUUCCUGUCCUCUCCCUCCCUCCCUGGAAAUGCCUGCCUCUGGCCUUGGCUGUAGGCCACACUUCCCAGCCUGUCAUAAUGGCCACCUUGCAGGCUGCAAACCUUUAUAAGAAAUAAAGCUCUCUUUUCUAAAUUUAUAAAAUUGUGUGAUUUUUCAGUUGAUCCUCUCUUUCUACACACACACACACACACACACACACACAUGCAAUUUAUACAGAAGGAAAUCUGGAGAAUAUAUGUGGGAAUGGAUAUUAAGUGUGUGGCACCAUGGUG